RNAcentral lists this ribosomal RNA (486 nucleotides) under uncultured bacterium. Its description in RNAcentral is "partial 16S ribosomal RNA". It matches the Rfam family "Bacterial small subunit ribosomal RNA", at positions 30 to 507 of the family's 1533-position model. The record is from RNAcentral.
AUUGAACGCUGGCGGCAUGCCUUACACAUGCAAGUCGAACGGCAGCACGGGUGCUUGCACCUGGUGGCGAGUGGCGAACGGGUGAGUAAUACAUCGGAACAUGUCCUGUAGUGGGGGAUAGGUGGGCGAAAGCCGGAUUAAUAGCGCAUACGAUAUACGGAUGAAAGCGGGGGACCUUCGGGCCUCGCGCUAUAGGGGUGGGCGAUGGCUGAUUAGCUAGUUGGUGCGGUAAAGGCCUACCAAGGCGACGAUCAGUAGCUGGUCUGAGAGGACGACCAGCCACACUGGGACUGAGACACGGCCCAUACUCCUACGGGAGGCAGCAGUGGGGAAUUUUGGACAAUGGGCGAAAGCCUGAUCCAGCAAUGCCGCGUGUGUGAAGAAGGCCUUCGGGUUGUAAAGCACUUUUGUCCGGAAAGAAAUCCUUGGCUCUAGUACAGUCGGGGGAUGACGGUACCGGAAGAAUAAGCACCGGCUAACUACGUG